RNAcentral lists this ribosomal RNA (941 nucleotides) under uncultured bacterium. RNAcentral describes it as "bacterial SSU rRNA". It matches the Rfam family "Bacterial small subunit ribosomal RNA", at positions 8 to 916 of the family's 1533-position model. The record is from RNAcentral.
AGAGUUUGAUCAUGGCUCAGGACGAACGCUGGCGGCGUGCCUAAUACAUGCAAGUCGAGCGCGGGAAGCAGACAGAUCUCUUCGGAGUGACGUUUGUGGAACGAGCGGCGGACGGGUGAGUAACACGUGGGCAACCUGCCUGUAAGACUGGGAUAACUUCGGGAAACCGGAGCUAAUACCGGAUAACACCUCGGAUCGCAUGAUCCGAGGUUGAAAGAUGGCUUAUCGCUAUCACUUACAGAUGGGCCCGCGGCGCAUUAGCUAGUUGGUGAGGUAACGGCUCACCAAGGCGACGAUGCGUAGCCGACCUGAGAGGGUGAUCGGCCACACUGGGACUGAGACACGGCCCAGACUCCUACGGGAGGCAGCAGUAGGGAAUCUUCCGCAAUGGACGAAAGUCUGACGGAGCAACGCCGCGUGAGUGAGGAAGGCCUUCGGGUCGUAAAACUCUGUUGUUAGGGAAGAACAAGUACCGUUCGAAUAGGUCGGUACCUUGACGGUACCUAACCAGAAAGCCACGGCUAACUACGUGCCAGCAGCCGCGGUAAUACGUAGGUGGCAAGCGUUGUCCGGAAUUAUUGGGCGUAAAGCGCGCGCAGGCGGUUCCUUAAGUCUGAUGUGAAAGCCCACGGCUCAACCGUGGAGGGUCAUUGGAGACUGGGGAACUUGAGUGCAGAAGAGGGGAGCGGAAUUCCACGUGUAGCGGUGAAAUGCGUAGAGAUGUGGAGGAACACCAGUGGCGAAGGCGGCUCUCUGGUCUGUAACUGACGCUGAGGCGCGAAAGCGUGGGGGAGCGAACAGGAUUAGAUACCCUGGUAGUCCACGCCGUAAACGAUGAGUGCUAGGUGUUAGGGGUUUCCACCCUUAGUGCUGCAGUUAACGCAAUAAGCACUCCGCCUGGGGAGUACGGCCGCAAGGCUGAAACUCAAAGGAAUUGACGG